AACACAUGCAAGUCGAGGGGCAGCACAGGUACCAUUACCGGGUGGCGACCGGCGCACGGGUGAGUAACGCGUAUGCAACUUACCUAUCAGAGGGGGAUAACCCGGCGAAAGUCGGACUAAUACCGCAUGAAGCAGGGGCCCCGCAUGGGGAUAUUUGCUAAAGAUUCAUCGCUGAUAGAUAGGCAUGCGUUCCAUUAGGCAGUUGGCGGGGUAACGGCCCACCAAACCGACGAUGGAUAGGGGUUCUGAGAGGAAGGUCCCCCACAUUGGUACUGAGACACGGACCAAACUCCUACGGGAGGCAGCAGUGAGGAAUAUUGGUCAAUGGCCGAGAGGCUGAACCAGCCAAGUCGCGUGAGGGAUGAAGGUUCUAUGGAUCGUAAACCUCUUUUAUAAGGGAAUAAAGUGCGGGACGUGUCCCGUUUUGUAUGUACCUUAUGAAUAAGGAUCGGCUAACUCCGUGCCAGCAGCCGCGGUAAUACGGAGGAUCCGAGCGUUAUCCGGAUUUAUUGGGUUUAAAGGGUGCGUAGGCGGCCUUUUAAGUCAGCGGUGAAAGUCUGUGGCUCAACCAUAGAAUUGCCGUUGAAACUGGGAGGCUUGAGUAUGUUUGAGGCAGGCGGAAUGCGUGGUGUAGCGGUGAAAUGCAUAGAUAUCACGCAGAACCCCGAUUGCGAAGGCAGCCUGCCAAGCCAUUACUGACGCUGAUGCACGAAAGCGUGGGGAUCAAACAGGAUUAGAUACCCUGGUAGUCCACGCAGUAAACGAUGAUCACUAGCUGUUUGCGAUACACUGUAAGCGGCACAGCGAAAGCGUUAAGUGAUCCACCUGGGGAGUACGCCGGCAACGGUGAAACUCAAAGGAAUUGACGGGGGCCCGCACAAGCGGAGGAACAUGUGGUUUAAUUCGAUGAUACGCGAGGAACCUUACCCGGGUUUGAACGCAUUCGGACCGAGGUGGAAACACCUUUUCUAGCAAUAGCCGUUUGCGAGGUGCUGCAUGGUUGUCGUCAGCUCGUGCCGUGAGGUGUCGGCUUAAGUGCCAUAACGAGCGCAACCCUUGCCACUAGUUACUAACAGGUAAAGCUGAGGACUCUGGUGGGACUGCCAGCGUAAGCUGCGAGGAAGGCGGGGAUGACGUCAAAUCAGCACGGCCCUUACAUCCGGGGCGACACACGUGUUACAAUGGCGUGGACAAAGGGAAGCCACCUGGCGACAGGGAGCGAAUCCCCAAACCACGUCUCAGUUCGGAUCGGAGUCUGCAACCCGACUCCGUGAAGCUGGAUUCGCUAGUAAUCGCGCAUCAGCCAUGGCGCGGUGAAUACGUUCCCGGGCCUUGUACACACCGCCCGUCAAGCCAUGGGAGCCGGGGGUACCUGAAGUCCAUAACCGCGAGGAUCGGCCUAGGGUAAAACUGGUGACUGGGG
This 1423-nucleotide ribosomal RNA is filed under the name uncultured organism. RNAcentral's name for it is "16S ribosomal RNA". It matches the Rfam family "Bacterial small subunit ribosomal RNA". The record is from RNAcentral.